CGUGUAGGCGGUACGGCAAGUCUGCUGUGAAAGCGCCCGGCUUAACCGGGCGAGGUCGGCGGAAACUGCUGAACUAGAGGACGGUAGAGGGGGGUGGAAUUCCCGGUGUAGUGGUGAAAUGCGUAGAGAUCGGGAGGAACACCUGUGGCGAAGGCGGCCCCCUGGGCCGGGCCUGACGCUGAGACGCGAAGGCGCGGGGAGCGAACG
This 207-nucleotide ribosomal RNA is filed under the name uncultured bacterium. RNAcentral's name for it is "partial 16S ribosomal RNA". It matches the Rfam family "Bacterial small subunit ribosomal RNA", at positions 568 to 774 of the family's 1533-position model. The record is from RNAcentral.